AGUGAACGCUGGCGGUAGGCCUAACGCAUGCAAGUCGAACGGCAGCACAGUAAGAGCUUGCUCUUACGGGUGGCGAGUGGCGGACGGGUGAGGAAUACAUCGGAAUCUACUUUUUCGUGGGGGAUAACGUAGGGAAACUUACGCUAAUACCGCAUCCGACCUACGGGUGAAAGCAGGGGAUCUUCGGACCUUGCGCGAUUGAAUGAGCCGAUGUCGGAUUAGCUAGUUGGCGGGGUAAAGGCCCACCAAGGCGACGAUCCGUAGCUGGUCUGAGAGGAUGAUCGGCCACACUGGAACUGAGACACGGUCCAGACUCCUACGGGAGGCAGCAGUGGGGAAUAGUGGACAAUGGGCGCAAGCCUGAUCCAGCCAUACCGCGUGGGUGAAGAAGGCCUUCGGGUUGUAAAGCCCUUUUGUUGGGAAAGAAAAGCAGCAGGUUAAUACCCCGCUGUUCUGACGGUACCCAAAGAAUAAGCACCGGCUAACUUCGUG
Molecule: ribosomal RNA, 492 nt
Filed under: uncultured bacterium
Lineage: Bacteria
Description: partial 16S ribosomal RNA
Rfam family: Bacterial small subunit ribosomal RNA
Source: RNAcentral